CCUACGGGUGGCAGCAGUAGGGAAUCUUCCACAAUGGACGAAAGUCUAAUGGAGCAACGCCGCGUGAGUGAAGAAGGGUUUCGGCUCGUAAAGCUCUGUUGGUAGUGACGAAAGAUAGAGGUAGUAACUGGCCUAUAUUUGACGGUAAUUACUUAGAAAGUCACGGCUAAAUACGUGCCAGCAGCCGCGGUAAUACGUAGGUGGAAAGCGUUGUACGGAUUUAUUGGGCGUAAAGCGAGUGCAGGCGGUUCAAUAAGUCUGAUGUGAAAGCCUUCGGCUCAACCGGAGAAUUGCAUCAGAAACUGUCGAACUUGAGUGCAGGAGAGGAGAGUGGAACGCGAUGUGUAGCGGUGGAAUGCGUAGAUAUAUGGAAGAACGCCAGUGGCGAAGGCGGCUCUCUGGUCUGUAACUGACGCUGAGGCUCGAAAGCAUGGGUAGCGAACAGGAUUAGAUACCCCGGUAGUC
RNAcentral lists this ribosomal RNA (465 nucleotides) under uncultured bacterium. RNAcentral describes it as "partial 16S ribosomal RNA". It matches the Rfam family "Bacterial small subunit ribosomal RNA", at positions 338 to 795 of the family's 1533-position model. The record is from RNAcentral.